This 13453-nucleotide long non-coding RNA is filed under the name Capsicum annuum. Its description in RNAcentral is "long non-coding RNA (CANN_LNC019374)". The record is from RNAcentral. Lineage: Eukaryota; Viridiplantae; Streptophyta; Magnoliopsida; Solanales; Solanaceae.
GAUGGUACUGAUCUAAAAUCACUUCAUUGGGGACAAUACUAAUUGCAAGAACGUUGGACCCCAGAGGUAAGAUAGUAUGUUAUUUGUUAGUUUAUGGUCAUACGGUAUAAUGCAUCGAUAUAAUCUUAUGACUUAAAGUAUGAAAUAGAUGUGUUAAUAGUAUUACUUUUUAAUGUUUUAUUCUAAAAUCAAAUUUAGUCAAAUCAUUUGUUGUUGCAUGCAUAAGCAGGUCAUAUAUUACCACUGAUUUAUGCGUUGGUUGAUUAUGAGAUUAUAGCAUCUUGGACUUAGUUUUUGAGAAGUUUAAAGAAGUUAUUGGGAAAAGAAAUGAAGAAUGUAUUGUGUCAGAUAGAAAAGAAAGCAUAUGGAAAGCAACAUCAAUAGUAUAUAUGAAUCUGUCACACCGUGCAUGUAUUAAUCAUUUGUGGGGAACUAUAAAGAUGACUUUUGAACGGAUGUUAAUGAACUACAUAAACUCUAUUUUUCCAUGGCGAAGGCAUAUACUCUGCAAAAAUUUGAAGUGUUAAUAGGGAGGAUGGACCAGAUUGACAGCAGAGUGAGGAUAUAUAUUUUUAUGAAAUUGGAUAUCAUAAAUGGGAAAGGGUUCAUUCUAUGAUUAAGAGUACUUGGGUUCUGACGUCAAACAUAGUAGAAUCCAUAAAUAAUACAAACAGAAUACCUAGAAGAAUACCUGUUGUUUGUGAGACGGAUUUUAUGAGGUUAACUGUUGAAACAUGGAAUGCAAAAUAGAAUGGGGGAGGAAAAAAUACAUUGAUGGACCUAACCAAAAAGUACAAUGAUAUCCUUAAUUAUAACAAGCACCAAUCGCAAAAUAUGAUGGUAAGUAUUUAAAUAUAUGACAUUACAUUGCAAAAUUUUUAUAAAUUUAUUUUUAUGUGUCACGACCCAAAAACAAGGGUCAUGAUGACACUUAUCGCGGUGUACCUUGCGAAAUAAGUCUAUCAACCAAUAUGAUAAAAAAGAAAAAAGAAAAGACAGAAAUACCAAAGGUAAGACUUCUAGAAUGAAGUCAAACUAUAGAAGUAAUCAUAACAAUGCAGAAAGAAUUUAUCCACAAUAUCAAUCAUACCCAAAACCAGGUAUCAAUAGUGUAAGAACUACCUAUACAAUUUAGGAGUCAAAUACAUUCAAAAAAUAACCACAAAGGAAUAAUAUUUGUCUCCAAAUACUAAUAAAGACAUAACUAAUACAAGAAGAUAGAGGUGAAAUUCGGAGGUAUGAAUGUCCAACCGUUACCUUGAGUAAUCUGAAAACACCCAAAAUCAACUAGUCUGAGGCACAUUCGAACCUGAAGCUACAUAAAAAAGGUGAAGUAGGAGUAAGUACGGUCUACUUGUACUUAGUAGGUAUCAUAAGACCAUCGACCAAAGUAGAAAAUAAAGCAUACAAAAUACACACUAAAAGCACGUCAUCUGCAAUCAAAAAAUUUCCCACAACGAUAGCCCAUAUUGCUUGCACUAAUAGUUCUAAUAUAUUACAUAUAUUGCAACAUCACACCAAGAUAGAACAUAAGUAUGCAUUAUAUUACAUAUAAGUAGAACAAGGGGGAAUAUGCAUAUACAAGAUCAUCAAAUACUAGUAAAAGAAGAUAAGACAAUUACAUAGAUGGCAAGUCAAUAUGGCAAUACAACACAAUAUAAACACAAAAAAUUAAGGGUAAUGUACAUGAUGAUGCACGAGGUCAUCGCACAAUCUUCGAGAUCAUUGCACAAUCCCCGUAUACACCUAUGUAGGCAAGCCUCGCUGUGCGGUACCCAUGGAGAUUGCGUCAACCCGUAUAUAAUCCACAUAUCUCAUAUCUCCUUUUUGGUACAUCCUUCGAAAAGAAUUUUAUAAGGUGUUACAAUAUCUCCUUCCUAAAACAUUUCUCGGAGAGGAUUUUUAAAAAAGUGUUGCUAGUGUUACUCAGGUGUUGUCAUAGUGGUACCAAUGUUUCAUGAAUGAGUAUGAUAUGAGGAGGCAAUGCUCACAACCAAUCACAAUGAGUAUUUCCACAACCUACUACAUGAUAUAUUUCCACAACCAACCACAAUGAUACAUUUUCAUAAUCACAUGAGUCAAUACUCACUCAUUAUUAAUGUUUCAUUCAUGAAUUUUCACAUGUCUCAUAUGCUAAUAAAGUAUGAAGAUAAUCAAAAUACACCAAUGGUACCUCAUUAAGCAUUUUAACAACACAAUACAAACUAUACACAUAUAUCCAAGACUAUCAAUAUCAUAAAGGACCCCACACGGUCACAAAUAUCACAAAAUAUCUCAAUUUUGAAAAUUACAUCACAUAUAAGCCCUACAAGGCACAAUACAUAGAUAGACAUUUUUUUUAUGAUUAGUUCCCACCCUUAACAUGUAUUUUGUACCAUAAUCUACUACCUAAACCAGUAUGAAAGAGUUAAGCCAUAACCUACCUCAAAAGCUGAAAUACCACAACCAAGACUUUGAUCCGAAAGCCUUACUCCUCACGAAUGGUACCAAACUCUACUAAAAACAUUAAUUAUAGAAUCUGCGUAUCAAAACAAAACCUAUGACACCCAUAUUAACUACUAUUGAUUAGGGAUCAAAACGGACCGGAAAUGGAUUUUUAUAAAAAAGGAAAAAAUCAUAACUACACUUCAAAAACUUGUUUCCAAUAUUUUUAGGAACCUACAGCUAAAAUCAAAGUCAAAUCGCGUAAAAAAUGAGGUUCAACUCGGAAAAAAAUUAUCUUUAGGCUUUACCGGGUAAAAACUUUGAAAUUUGUAUUAAAUCAAGAAUCAGAGUUGUUUUGAAAGUUAAAUUGAUGAAAAACUAGUAAUUAUAAGAUUAAAAUAUUAUUCAAGUGAAAAAGAUUGAAAUUAGGAUUUAAAAUUAAGCCCUAAGAUUUUUGGGGUUUUGAGAAAUUAAUCAAAAAAUUAUUAAGAAAAUAGGUGAUUUCUUACCUUAAAUCCAUAAGAGAAUCAAGAAAUAGGGGUUAAUCUGACUUCCCAAACUCCCAAAAGCAUCAAUUUUAAGCUCUCACACUAUUUUAGUAUUUAUCUCUCAAGAAGAAAGGUGAAAGAAUGGACAAAAUGGGCCAAAAUAGGGUUAAGAAAGUUGCUACAUAUUACAGAAAAAUCUACUAUAGUGCAGAUUUUUCUAAGUCCAAACGGAUUUCGAUGGGGUGUCGGAAUUUGUUUGGAGUCUGAUGAACGCAAACAAACUAUGAAAAAAAUACUAAAUUUGACGUUCCGGAUGCAUUGGCAAAGUUAUAUUUUCAAAAAAAAAUAUCAUUUUCACAAAGUUGACCUAUAAUAUCCAAAAUCAUAAUUUUCAAAAUCAAGGAUCGAAAUGAGAUUUAAAAGGCGCAAAAUCACAACAACCAUGUUACCACCCUAAGAUCAACGUUUUGGGUUUGCUAGAGAAGUUGGAUUUUCUAUUCAAGAUCAUUUCGACCAAAUGUGGAUCCCACACCCAUAUUUCCAAUUUUUCAACUUUCCGACCAAUAGGUUGAAAUGAGCUCAGGUGCACCGGGACUCGAACCAAAGAUCUACCUAGCCUAAAAUUGAUAUUUCGAAGCUGCUGGCACAGUCCGAUCAGCCAUCCAUUGCAUGGAUCAAAAGAUAUCCAUAUAAGUCCAAAAUAAGGCUCUCGAAGCCAUCAAAAAGAAAAAAUAUCCCAUAAAUGGUAUUAAAAUGCAUCAAAAAUUGUGCCAAUUAUCCCCACACCCCAAAAAUAUCAUAAUGAAACUACGGGUAUGAGUGAGAUAGUCAAAUCACAUAGAAACACACAUUUCAUAUAUUUCAUUAAAAAGUUGAUCAUUACAUCAUCCACCACUAAAAUCUAGUUCAUCCUCAAACCAAUGGCAAAAGAAAUAACUGUAUCAACAAAGAACUAGGGAUAAGAACUACGCAUAUCUAAAUCGACCUCCCAAGUAGCCUCAUCUACAAGUUGAUAUCGCCACUAAACCUUAACCACAGGAUAACUCUAGAGAACACCCGUCUAACAUCCCCAGCCAAUAUAGAGAUUCGCUUCUCAAAAAAAGACAAUCGCUUAUCUAACUUACUCCUAGCAAAUAACAUAAGACUCGUACAGAAUAUAACGGCGAAUCAUAAGAAUAUAAAAAACUUGAUGAACAGUUGUAGAUCAGGGGGCAAAGCCAACUCAUAAGCCACAUCACCCAACAAUUCAAAGAAUCUCAAAUGGACCAAUAUACCUAGAGAUAAGCUAUCCCCUCUUUCCACACCUUAUCACACCCUUCAUGGGUGAAACUCAAAGGAAAAUACGACCUCCAAAACCAUAUCUUAAGGCACAAAGUCUACAAUUAGCAAAAAAUUUCUGCCUACUCUGAGCUGCUCUAAGUCUAUCCUGAAUGAUCCAGACUCUAUCCAAAGACUCACGAAGUAAGUCCAUACCUCAAAGUCUCACCUCUGAAACAUCAAACAAACCCACUGGGGAGCGACAAUGCCUACCAUACAAUUCCUCAAAAGGAACCAUGUCAAUACUUGAAUGGUAGUUGUUGUUAUAUAAAAACUCUGAUAAAGACAAAUAUUGCUCCCACUAACCACCAAAAUUUAUCACACAUGCGCGGAGCAUAUCCUUCAAAACCUAAAUAGUCUACUCUAACUGACUGCUAGUCUGGGGGUAAAUAUCGUGCUAAGAUUAACCCGAGUAUCCAACUCAUCCUAAAAAGUCUUUCAAAAGUAAAAUGUGAAUAGAGAUCCUCGAUCUAAAAUAAUGGACAUCAAUACACAAUGCAGACCCACAAUCUCACAAAUGUAGAUACGAGCUAACCUCUCAGCAUCGAAUGAGACCUGAACCAAAAUAAAAUGAGUUGACUUGGUCAAUUAACCCACGAUGACCCAAACAUUGUCAGAAUCAUGAGAUGGAUAAGGAAACCAGCUAAAAAAUCCAUAGUGAUACAUUCCCAUUUCCACUUGGGAAUGGGUAACCUCUGAAGCAACUCACCAUGCCUUAUAUGCUCAGUGUUCACUUGUUGAUACCAUAGGCAAUGAGACAUAAAAUCUGCUGCAUCUCACCUCCUACCACCCUACCAGUAAUGCUUCCUCAAAUCACGAUACAUCUUAGUCACACCUGGUUGGAUAGAAUAUCUAGAACAAUAGGCCUCCUCCAAGAUCAACCUAAUCCAGUCACCCACUCUCGGCCUCUAAUCUUCAAAACUCCAUCUAAAUUAAGUGAGGCUUCCUUAGCCUCUCCACUCAACACCUUACCUCAAAUCAGCCUUAACCCAAUAUCAUAAAACUAAUGAGCUCAAACCUUCUCCAUCAAAAAAGAUCUAGCCUCCAUAAGUGCCAAAACAUGCACAGGUGUCAAAAUAUCAAGCCUAAAUAUCUAGUUAGCUAAAGACUAAACCUCUAACGCUAAAGGCCUCUCCCGGGUCAAAAGAUACAUUAAGUUACCCAUUCUAGUGACUUCCAGCUCAAGGCAUGCGCAACCACAUUUGCCUUUCUCAGAUAGUAGAGAAUAGUCAAGUCAUAGUCCUUAAGCAACUAAAGCAAUGACGCUGCCUCAUAUUAGGAUCUCUCUGGGUGAAGAAGUACUGAAGGCUACGAUGAUUUGAGAAGAUCUCGCAAUGAACUCCAUAUAAGUAGUGCCUACACAACUUUAAAACAAACACAACCGCGUAUAACUCUAAAUUAUAGUUAGGGUAAUUUUUCUCCUGGGUCUUUAACUAACGAGAAACAUACAUAAUUAUAUUACCCUACUUUAUCAGCAUAGCACCCAAUCCAACACCCAAAGCAUAAAAAAAUAUGGUAAAGCCCACACCCUGCUUGGGCAAAGCCACUAUAAGAGUUGAAGUCAACAAAUCCUUGAGCUUUUGAAAGUUUGCCUCACAAGCAUCAGACCACUAGAAGGAAGUCUUAUUUUGAGUUAACUUAGUCAAAGGAGAUAGAAUAGAAGAGAAACCCUCAAUAAAAUACCAAUAAUACCUGGCCAAGCCAAUCAAACUCUAAGCUCGAUGGGCAAAAUAGGUCUAUCCCAAUCAUGAACCAUUGCAACCUUGGCUGGAUCAACCAUAAUACCUUCCUUAGUAACCACAUGACCCAAGAAAGAAAUAGACUCCAACCAACACUCGCAUGUAAAGAACUUUGCACAUAACUUCUAAUCCCUCAAUCUCUGAAGAACAAUUCGCAAAUGCUCUUCAUGCUCAGCCUCACUCUUUGAAUACACUAAGAUAUCAUCUCUAAAUGCAUUAAUAAAUGAGUCGAGAUACGAUUGAAAAACCCAGAUUAUUAACUCUAUGAAUGCGGCAGGGGAAUUAAUCAACCCAAUGGACAUGACAAAGAACUCAUAAUGACCACAUCAAGUUCGAAAAGUUAUCUUUGAAAUAUCCCAAGCUCUAAUCCUAAACUGGUGAUAUUCGUACAUCAAAUUAAUCUUCAAAAACACUGUAGCACCCUGAAAUUGAUCAAAUAAAUCAUCAAUAUGGGAAAGAAGACACUGAUUCUUAACCGCCACCUUAUUCAACUAUCGAUAAUCAAUACACAUCUGCAUAAACCCAUCCUUAUUUUUCACAAACAAGACAAGCUUAUCCCAAGGUGAUACACUAGGUUGGAUAAAUCCCUUAUCCAAUAACUCCUAUAAUAGAUCCUUCAAUUUCUUCAACUCAGUUGGGUCUAUUCUAUAAGGGGGAAUUGAAAUGGGUUUGGUUCCCGACUCAACAUCAAUAGCUAAAUCAAUAUCUCAAUCCAGAGUUAUACCGGGAAAAUCCAUAGAAAACACAUCCAUAAGCUCAUGAACAACACGAACAUAAUCCAAGGAAGGAGGCGAAACAACACUAGUAUCAUGAAUAUGAGGUAAAUAAGAUAAACAUCCUUUCUUAACCAAUCUAUGAGCUUGGACUUAAGAGAUAACUCUCUUAGGAGCUGAAUAAAGCAUACCCUUCCAAGAUAUCCUUGGUACAACUGGUAGAGCUAAAGUCACAAUCUUAGCAAAACAAUCUAAGACAGCCUAAUAAGGAGAUAACAAAUCCAUACCUAAUCAAAUCUAACACAAUUAAAUCUAUCCAAGUCUUACAGUCCCAAAAAUGUCACAACAUAAGAUCGGUACACCCCAUCCACCACUAAAGAAUCUCCUACAAGGGUAGAUACAUGAAUAUGCAUGGCAAGAGGCUCAAUAACAGAAUAAAAACCUAAAGAAAAAUAUGCAGACAGAUUGAAGAAUGUCGAUCUGAGAUUAAAUAAUACAGAUGUAGGUCUAAAACAAAUAGGGAUGAUACCUGCAAUCACAAUAUCAGAAAUAUCUGCCUCAAGUAUGGAUGGUAUAGCAUAACACUAACCACAACCAUAAGCUACCUUGGUGGCCUAUGACCACCAACUUCCUGAGUGGCCCCAUGACCGCCUCUAUAAUCUCUACUACCUCUACCCCUCGUACCUCUAAUAAUACCCCUACCCCUCACAGUUGGAAUAAGAGUAGCCAAAACUACCCAACAAGGACACUUCUUGGCCACAUGGCCAAUCUCAUUAAAGACAUAGCAACAUCUAGGACCAAUCUAAAAAAAAAAGGUACAACUUGGCCCGAACGACCACCCUAAAUUGUUGAACUAAAAUAUCCACCAUUUGAACUUUGUAAAUCUGCCUGUACUAACCUACUAUGGUAUUUAUGUGAACCUCUAAAAUAUCUGCCUCAAGAGGUCUAACUCCUAAACUCACCAAAAUAUCAUACCUUCUCGGUGCCUGCCUGAGAUGCUCAAAGAAUACCCUCUAUAAUUUUAGCAUGACCUAUAAUACUCUGAAAAGAAGCCCCAAGUACAACCAUCUGAGAUGUAGUAACUGAAUGGGGACAUCCGAACCCUUUACAAAGUUCUAAAUCUUCUCAGACUCAGGUGGAAAUAAAAUCAUAGAAAUAUUUAGACAGGAAAUGGAAGUGUGCCUUACACUCAACAAAUAUCAUAGAGCUUUGAUCCAAAUGAUCAAACUCGUCCUGCAUACAGUCUCUCAAACUGAAAGGCAUAAAUCUCUCUAGGAAAGCCUUGGCGAACUGAUCCUAAGUCAUCUUGGGAGAAUCACAGGGUCUACAACUAACAAGCAACCUCCACCAAUUUCGCACCGUAUCUCUCAACUGAUAAUAUAUAGUAUAAGCCACACCAUCCAUGCAGAAAUAGUGAAACACAACUCAAAACACAAGGUAUGGAAAAACUUCAUGCGAUAAAGAAUAAAAUAAAGAAAGUUUCAAAAAUACAUCCUAUAGACUCUCAAAGAUAGAUACGAAUGUCUAUGUACCAAUCCAUAAGACUAUAUUAUACAUCUAUUUCUUAUGCCAUUGAGACCAGUGAAACCUGGUUGCUUUGAUACCAAUUUGUCAAGACCAAAAACAAGGUUCAUGAUGGCACUUAUCGCGGCGUACCUUGACAAGUAAGCCUUUCACCUAAACUGAUACAAAAAGGAAAAUAAAAAGACAAAAAAAUCCAACGUAAGGAUUCUAGAUCAAAGCCAAACUAUACAAGUAAUUAUAACAAUGCAAAAAAACCAUAUCCAAAAUUCUAUUCAUGCCCAAAACUAGGUGUCAAUAGUGUAAGAGCUACUAAUAUAAUUCAGGAGUCAAAUACAUCAGAAAAAUAACCACAAAGGAGUAAUAUCUAUCUCUAAAUACUAAUAAAGACAUAACUAAUACAAAAAGAUAGAGGUGAACUCUGGAUGAAUGAAUGUUCAAUCACUACCUUGAGUAAUCUAAAGGCGCCCAAAAAAAACAAGUCUGAGGCACACUUAAACCUGAAGUUGCACCGAAAGGGUGAAGUAGGAGUGAGUAUGAUUCACUUCUACUCAGUAGGUAUCAUAGGCCGACUGAGCAAAGUAGAAAAUAAAUUAUACAAAAUACACACUAAAUACACGUCACCUGUAAUUAGAAAAUAUCCCACAAUAGUAGCCCACACCGCUUGCACUAACAGUUCCAAUAUAUCACAUAUAUUGCAAUAUCACGCUAAGAUAGAACACAAGUAUGCAUUAUAUCACAUGUAAGUAGAACAAGGGGGAACAUGCAUAUACAAGAUUAUCAAAUACAAGUAAAAAAAAGAUAAUUACAUAGAUGGCAAGUCAAGAUGGAAAAUCAGUACAAUAUAAACACAAUAAAGUAAUUGCAAUAUAUGUGAUGAUGAUGCACGAGGUUAUUGCAUAACCUCUGGGAUCAUCGCACAAUCCCCGUAUACACCUACAUUGGCAAGCCCCCCAACGCAGGACCUAUGUAAGGUUCGUUAACUCAUAUAUAAUACACAUAUUUCAUACCAAUUUUUUGGAACAUCCCUCAAAAAGGGUUUUAUAAGGUGUUACAAUAUCUCCUCUCUAGCACAUCCCUCGAGAAUGGUUUUUAAAAAUGCAUUGCCAGUAUUACUCAGGUGUUGCCAUGGUGGUACUAAUGUUUUAUCAAUGAGUAUGAUAUGAGGUUGUGAUGCUCACAACCAUAUCACACUGAAUAUUUCCACAACCAACCACAUGAUAUAUUUCUACAACCAACCACAAUGAUUCAUUUCCACAACCACGUGAUCCAAUAUCCACUUAGUAUUUUUGUUUCAACCAUGAAUUUCUGCAUGUCUCAUAUGCCAAUAAAGUAUGAAUAUAAUCACAAUACACCAAUGGUACCACAUUAAGAAUUUUAAUAAUACAGUAUAAUUAUUCACAUAUAUUCAAGGUUAUCAAUAUUACAUUGGAUCCCACAAGGUCACACCUAUCAUAAAAUAUCUCAAUUUUAAUAAUUACAUCACAUAUAGGCCCCUACAUGGUGUAACUACCUUAAUAAUUUUUUCCAUUUUAUUUUGACCUUUCCGUGUUUGAAACAUCAAUUUAUGGACUGAAAUAUGCCUAGGGAUGUUAAAAGGGUAAUCUGGAUGAGUUUUGAAAUUUUCAAAAGAGGUUCAGGAUAAUUUUAGGAUUCUGAGGUAGUGAGCCUCCAUAUUUUUAAUGUGCCACGGAGGUUGGCCUCCAUGAUUUUGAUGUAGCAUGGAGGCGGCGUGCCUCCAUAAUAACACCAUAUCACAGAGGAUAAUAUCUGUGAUAAAUAAUAUGGCACAGAGAUUACCUCGAUAAUAAGGUCGCGCCAUACUGCUAUGUAAAAGUCAUGAUGUCUUAUUUUAUUUCCUUUAGGAUGAGGGGUAGUAAGGUAUUUUCACCUAUGUACGACCUUUAAACAUUAUAUGAAUCUAUUUCCAUCAGUUUUUAAGGAAUAAAAGCUAUUAUUUCACUCUAAAAAAUAAAACUCAAGCAAAACAUAAGGGUUUUAUCGUAUGAUUAUCUUUUGGGUUUCAAGUUCCAAAUUGUUUUAAGAUUCUUGUGUGUUUAAGGCAUGUUACUCUUCCUCCAAACCUUAUUUUAUCAAAAUCAUGUGUUAUAAUUUUAUUCAUUUGAUUUUAUUGAUGAUUACGAAUGUGGAUUGAGGGAUUUUAAAGUAUUAUUGAUAUAAUUUCUUUUCCCAUGGUUUAUAUGAAAUUAUUCAUGCUUUAUUGAUGAUUUUGAACUCGUGGGGUGUAUGGGAAAGGUGAAUAAACUAAGGUUUCAUGGUUUUCCCUAAUUAUGUGGACUUUGUUAAAUGAAUUGAUGAUGACCUCAACCCAAUCUUGUGAAAUUGGCUUUGAUUGUAAGUGUUUAUACACAUUGUACUAUUUUUGAAACCUGGAAUUGCAUAAAAUAUUAAUGGAACGUAAAAAUUAGUUUUAGAUUGAAAAGUCCAGAGUCCUAUUGGUUGAUUGGGUUAAAGUCCCUUUGGCUAGGUGAUUUGGUUCCUACUUGGAACUUUGGAUUCCUAUUGGUUGGCUGGGUUAGAUUCGCAUUAUCUAACAAUUUAGUUCCUACUUGGAACUUUGGAAAUCCAUUGAUUGAUUGGGUUAGAGCCUCUUUAGUAAAUGGUUAGGGUCCCUUUAGCAGAUGGUUGGAUUUGGCUAAAUAACAUGUACUUGCAAGCUAUAGUCGGUAUGAUGAUACCACUUGAUAAUGCCUUAAUGAAUGAAUCCUUGAAUGGGUUAUGUGCUAAAGCUUUAAUUUGUCUUAUAGGGAUUGUAUAGCAAGGCCUUGAAGGUGGAGGACCCAAAGGGAUCAAUACAGGAAACUGCACUUGUCGAUGCGGGGUCUAAAUGAUUAGGUGGUUCGAGUCCCUUAUAUUAUAUAAUCGGGUGGUCUGAGUCCCCUGUAUUACAUGAUCAAGCUGCUUAAGUCACCUUUAGUAUAUGAUUGAGAGGUCCGAGUCUCCUAUGCAUAUAUAUUAUGAUUAUUCUCUGAUUCAUGUAGCUACACGUACUGCGGACCGACCAAAUAGUGAGAACUGGGGCCCAUAUAUCCCUUGGGUACUACUAUGACUCAAUGAUAGAUUUAUGGGUUAUUAGCUAUCAACUUUGAAGUGGUGAGCAUUCAUUCUCCUAAAGGAUUUUCAUUUUAAAGUCAUAUUUUUUUGUGUCAUAGACUACCGUUUGGUUUCUUUUGGGCUAUCGUCAGGGGUAUGUCCCGACCUAGAUUGAUGUUAGUUUUAUAGAAGCUUUGUGGAUUACUGGGGGGUGGGAUUGUGUUGGAUUCCCAUUUUUAUUUGAGCUAUUCACUCAACUUACUUUUGUUUAUUGGUUUACUUUCACUGUUGUUAGACAUAUUGUGUUCUGUUUGACUAGGCAAAGGGAGUGGUCUUCGGUCCAUGGUGGGCUGGAUAUACCCAUCACAGCCAGGGCCUAGUUCAGCUCGUGGCACAUGGGAACAACCCAUAUAUUAUCCAUUUUUUCAUGAUUAGUUCCCACUUUAACAUGCAUUUUGUAUCAUCAUUUACUACCUAACCUUGUCUGAAAGAGUUAAGCCAGAACCUACCUCAAAAGCCAAACUACCACAACUAAGACUUUGCUUCCAAAUCCUUACUCUUUAUGAACAGUCCCUAACUCCACAAAACAUCAAAUAUGGAAUCUAUGCAUCAAAAUAAAGCCAACGACACUCAUAUUGACUGCUUUUGAUUCGUUCUAAAAGUGAAUCCCCGAAAUGGAUUUUCGAGAAAAAAAGGCAAAAUCAUAACUUUACUUAAAAAAUAUUUUCUCCAUAUUUUUAGGAACAUACAGCUGAAAACCCAAGUCAAAUCGAGUAAAAAUGAGGUUUAAAUCAAAGAAAAAUUAUUUUUAAGCUUUAUCGGGUGAAAUCUUUAAAAUUCAGGUUAAAAUCAAGAAUUAGAGUUGUUUUAAAGGUUAAAUUGAUAAAAAAAAAAAUUAAUAAUUAUAGGAUUAGAAUAUUAUUCAAGUAAAAAUGAGUGAAAUUGGGAUUUAAAAUCAAGCCUUAAAAUUUUUGAGGUUUUGAUAAAUUAAUCAAGAAAUUACUAUGAAAAUGGGUGAUUUCUUACCUUAAAUCUAUAAGAGAAUCAAGAAAUAGAUGUUAAUCUAGCUAUCCAAGAUCCCACGAGCUUCACUUUUAAUCUAUCACACUAUUUUAGGGUUUAACUCUCCAGAGGCAAGGCAAAAGAAUGGACAAACUGGGCCAAAAAGGGUUAAAAAAGCUGCUAUAUAUAGCAGAAAAAUUUGUUGUAGUGCAGAUUUUUUUUAGUCCAAACGGACUUUGACGGGGUGUCUGGAAUUCAUUCGGAAUCCGAUGACUGCAAACAAACUAUGCAACCACACUAAAUUUGAUGUUAUGGACGUGUUGGUAAAGUCGAAUUUUCAUAAAAAUAUCAUUUUCACAAAGUUGAUCCCCGAAACUCGAAAUCGAAAUUUUCCAAAUCGAAGGUCAAAAUUAGAUUUAAAAGCCGUAAAAUUAUACCAAAUGUGUUACCACCCUAAAAUCAAUGUUUUGGAUAUGCCGGAAAAGUUAAAUUUUUCAUUCAAGAUAGUUUCGACCAAAUGUGGGUCCCACAUUCAUUUUUCAAAUUUUCAACUUUCUGAUCGAUAGGUCGAAAUGGACUUGGGUGUAUUAGGACCCGAACCAAAUAUUUAUUUAGCCUAAAAUCGAUAUUCCAAAGUUUCUGAUGCAGUUCGUACAACCAUCCAUCGCAUAUAUUAAAAAAUAUCCACAUAAAUCAAAAAUAAGGCUCUCGAAGCCAUGAAAAAUCAUAAUAUGGCAUAAAUGUUACCAAAAUGCAUCAAAAACUAUGUCAAUCACUCCCAUAUUUAUAAAAUACCAUAAUUCAACUACGAAGAGUGGUAAAAUAGUCAAAUCACAUAGAAACACAUAUUUCAUCAAAAAACUUAUCGUUACAUUAUGUUGAUUGUUUCAAUUACUGUACAAAAUGUAGUGAAAUAAGUCAUACUAGAAUUAUGAAAGUUUUUGUGAUGAAUUAUAAUUUUGUAUUUUUUCAGAAUAUUUUAUUAUAAUUUUUUUAAAAUAAUAUAUGUAUUAACAAUAUGAUUUAUUGUAGGUAAAAGCUUCAAACAAAUUCUUGCAUACCAUUAGCGAUAAAGUUAAAAUAUUUAUUGUAUGCCAAUGAAGUAGAAAAUAUAGUUGUGAUCGAGUUCAAUUAGAUGAAAUACAUUGUUCUCAUGCAAUGAUUGUUAUUACAUAUCAAAACCAACAUGGAGAGG